UAAAGAUUCAUCGCUGAUAGAUAGGCAUGCGUUCCAUUAGGCAGUUGGCGGGGUAACGGCCCACCAAACCGACGAUGGAUAGGGGUUCUGAGAGGAAGGUCCCCCACAUUGGUACUGAGACACGGACCAAACUCCUACGGGAGGCAGCAGUGAGGAAUAUUGGUCAAUGGGCGUAAGCCUGAACCAGCCAAGUCGCGUGAGGGAUGAAGGUUCUAUGGAUCGUAAACCUCUUUUAUAAGGGAAUAAAGUGCGGGACGUGUCCCGUUUUGUAUGUACCUUAUGAAUAAGGAUCGGCUAACUCCGUGCCAGCAGCCGCGGUAAUACGGAGGGUCCGAGCGUUAUCCGGAUUUAUUGGGUUUAAAGGGUGCGUAGGCGGCCUUUUAAGUCAGCGGUGAAAGUCUGUGGCUCAACCAUAGAAUUGCCGUUGAAACUGGGGGGCUUGAGUAUGUUUGAGGCAGGCGGAAUGCGUGGUGUAGCGGUGAAAUGCUUAGAUAUCACGCAGAACCCCGAUUGCGAAGGCAGCCUGCCAAGCCAUGACUGACGCUGAUGCACGAAAGCGUGGGGAUCAAACAGGAUUAGAUACCCUGGUAGUCCACGCAGUAAACGAUGAUCACUAGCUGUUUGCGAUACAGUGUAA
This 637-nucleotide ribosomal RNA is filed under the name uncultured bacterium. RNAcentral describes it as "bacterial SSU rRNA". It matches the Rfam family "Bacterial small subunit ribosomal RNA", at positions 202 to 842 of the family's 1533-position model. The record is from RNAcentral.